CGGGUGAGCAAAUGCAUAGAUAGAGUGUCAUGAUAUUCAAUCAGAGGAUAAAAAGAAUUUUAAUUAUAAUUAUACAAGUUUUACUAAUUAUUAUUAGAAUUAGAUAUCAUGGAUGUUGAGGUUGUAAUAAAUUACUUUUGGUCUUGUAUAUUCAUUAGGGCUUGCUUUAAGGAGUGUGCAGCUAUCACGUAUCUGAUCCGGGUGUUAGGUU
This 211-nucleotide long non-coding RNA is filed under the name Elaeis guineensis (African oil palm). RNAcentral describes it as "long non-coding RNA (EGUI_LNC076649)". Lineage: Eukaryota; Viridiplantae; Streptophyta; Magnoliopsida; Arecales; Arecaceae. The record is from RNAcentral.